This 402-nucleotide long non-coding RNA is filed under the name Felis catus (domestic cat). RNAcentral's name for it is "lncRNA (ENSFCAG00000048770.1)". The record is from RNAcentral. Lineage: Eukaryota; Metazoa; Chordata; Mammalia; Carnivora; Felidae.
AGUCCAAGGAAGCAUACCGUGAAAUUCAUUUGCUCCCAGCCUUUCUGGGAACUCUUCUGGAAUGUCUGCUUAUUGCACAGACAAGAAGGAGGAGGAGGAGUAGGAGACAAGAGAGUGUGUAUCUGAAAGAGAAGAAACAAGGUGUCCCUUCUGUGAGGGCACUCACUCUCCAAAGAAAAACACUGUAUUACAAGGUGCCCUCUGGAUUGGAGAGAAGAAACACCCAGUCUCAAGGUAAGCCGAACCCUGUCCCCAGAGCCGUCCCUGCAGGGAGCUUAUUUACCUUGGCUUUUCUAUUUUCUGACUCAUGGUUGUACUUAAACUCUCUUCUCUCUGGCUAUGUGUCUUUUAAUACACUUUUUUUUAUAUCCCAAAUGUGGCUUUAGAACUGACCUGUACCCU